RNAcentral lists this long non-coding RNA (232 nucleotides) under Musa acuminata (dwarf banana). RNAcentral's name for it is "long non-coding RNA (MACU_LNC007328)". Lineage: Eukaryota; Viridiplantae; Streptophyta; Magnoliopsida; Zingiberales; Musaceae. The record is from RNAcentral.
AUUUGUAUUUCAUGCAUAAUUUCACUUCAUCACAUUAGGAGUAUCAAGAGGAAUUAAUUGGGUGAUGAGAUAAAUAUUUCACGAAUACAUGAAAUUGUAUAAAAAAUCAUAUCAUAAGUGUUUCAUACAUUCAUAUCAUCACAUGAAGGAAUAUAAACAAAAAUUAGUGAUGAGAUAUUACUUCAUGAAUACAAUAAAAUUCAUAUAGCAUAUCAUGGUUUAUUAGACUUAG